Pseudopipra pipra is the source of this 3338-nucleotide long non-coding RNA. RefSeq lists it as uncharacterized. The record is from RefSeq and is a predicted model, not a curated record. The transcript is spliced from 3 exons. Lineage: Eukaryota; Metazoa; Chordata; Aves; Passeriformes; Pipridae.
UGACCCCCAGCCCGCCCUGUCAGCAGGGCAGGGCUUUCCCUGACCCCCAGCCCGCCCUGUAAGCAGGGCAGGGCUUUCCCUGACCCCCAGCCCGCCCUGUAAGCAGGGCAGAGCUUUCCCUGACCCCCAGCCCGCCCUGUAAGCAGGGCAGGGCUUUUCCCCCUGGCACCUUUGUGCCUGCUUAUGACCCCUGGCCAGAGUGACCCCCUGUAGCUGGGGCGUGUCACGGCCUUGGUCCCUGGGCCAGUUGUGAAGCCCCUCUGUGUACUGAGGCCCCUCUGGCCUCUGCAGAGCCCGGGGCAGGGCUGAGGCUCUGCUCUCCUGCCCAGAGGGAGGGAUGGCUCCCCACGCGUUGGCUGCACAGAGCCUGCUCCCUCUUCUGGGACGUUCCCCCUUUGUGUUUUUGUCUUUGUCGGUGUGAGUGAGCAAGUGAGCUUGUGUUUCAUCCCCCGUAGCAAAAGUGAGACUAGUGUAGCUUAGACUUCCCAGGAGGGAAAGAGGGGCUCUGUGCAACAACCGGGGGGUGCCCUCUGAACCCACGGGUGGAGACAGGGCCCAGCCUUGCCCCUUCUUCCCCAGGACAGAGCGAAGCCCGUUAGUGGUGGUGCAGGCACCGUGACCCGCCUGUAGCCAGGGCCUGGGCGUGUGCCUGCGCUGCGGGGCUGCCUGUCCUGCUGGUGAUGUGCCAGCGUGAUCCCCCCCCCCGGCCUUAGGCCGUCAGGCCACUGUUGGGAGUGCCGGGCCUCGGGGGCGGCCCUGUAAGUGGGGCUUUGUGCGUCCCCCGUGCCCGGCGGGCGGUUGGAGGGACCCUCUGUAACCAGGCGGGUGUCCCGUGGGGUCCCCACCCUUUCACAGGCGUGGGGCUGGGCGUGUGCCCUCCCUGUCCUCGGGGGAAGGCAGAGCUCCGUGGCUCCCUGGGUGUGAACCCGCCUGUAAGCAGGGUCCGGGUCUGGGAGCCUUUGUGCUCCCUCAGCUGGCAGCCUGUGCGGGGCGACCGCCCCGUUAGCGGGGAGCGGGUCAGGUGCCCCCGAAGCGGAGAGAAGGAGCCUCCGCGGGCCUUUGGGCCCAGGGCUGCCCUGUAAGUCGGGGCCAGUGCCCUGGAGUCCCGGGCACUUUGCGCUCCAGGCAGCGGCCGGAGCCCCCUGUAAGCAGGGGUGCAGCCUCUUUGGCCACUGCUUUGCAUGCCCAGCUGCCUUUGCCCAGAGGGCCCGGCUCCCAGCAGCGGAUGGGACUGCGUCGCUCUGAAGCCGUCGGAGAAGAAAGAAGAGCCAGGACUGGAACUUUGAGGCAAGAGCGAAGAAGAGGAGCAGCAGCGUCGAGCUCAAGAGGGAGCACGACAGAGACCCUCUGGGCAAAUGCACCUCCCUGGCCCCCCCCGGGCAGGGAUCCGUAAGAGUCCGGCGGUCAGCUUCAGGCUGCCCCGGCUGGCUUUGCGCUGGGCGACCUCCCUGUAAGCAGGGCUGGGUCUUUGCUUUGCUUUGCUGGCCUUUGGCCAUGGCGCUCCUUUGGCUGCCCGGAGAGAGGGGCAACCCUGUAAGGAGGGUGAGAGCCCCCCUCUCCGCACCCAAGGGGGGAAACGGAGCUCUCCCGACCCCCAGCCCGCCCUGUCAUCAGGGCAGGGCUUUCCCUGACCCCCAGCCCGCCCUGUCAUCAGGGCAGGGCUUUCCCUGACCCCCAGCCCGCCCUGUCCUCAGGGCAGGGCUUUCCCUGACCCCCAGCCCGCCCUGUCCUCAGGGCAGGGCUUUCCCUGACCCCCAGCCCGCCCUGUCAUCAGGGCAGGGCUUUCCCUGACCCCCAGCCCGCCCUGUAAGCAGGGCAGGGCUUUUCCCCCUGGCACCUUUGUGCCUGCUUAUGACCCCUGGCCAGAGUGACCCCCUGUAUCUGGGGCGUGUCACGGCCUUGGUCCCUGGGCCAGUUGUGAAGCCCCUCCGUGUGCUGAGGCCCCUCUGGCCUCUGCAGAGCCCGGGGCAGGGCUGAGGCUCUGCUCUCCUGCCCAGAGGGAGGGAUGGCUCCCCACGCGUUGGCUGCACAGAGCCUGCUCCCUCUUCUGGGACGUUCCCCCUUUGUGUUUUUGUCUUUGUCGGUGUGAGUGAGCAAGUGAGCUUGUGUUUUAUCCCCCGUAGCAAAAGUGAGACUAGUGUAGCUUAGACUUCCCAGGAGGGAAAGAGGGGCUCUGUGCAACAACCGGGGGGUGCCCUCUGAACCCACGGGUGGAGACAGGGCCCAGCCUUGCCCCUUCUUCCCCAGGACAGAGCGAAGCCCGUUAGUGGUGGUGCAGGCACCGUGACCCGCCUGUAGCCAGGGCCUGGGCGUGUGCCUGCGCUGCGGGGCUGCCUGUCCUGCUGGUGAUGUGCCAGCGUGAUCCCCCCCCCCGGCCUUAGGCCGUCAGGCCACUGUUGGGAGUGCCGGGCCUCGGGGGCGGCCCUGUAAGUGGGGCUUUGUGCGUCCCCCGUGCCCGGCGGGCGGUUGGAGGGACCCUCUGUAACCAGGCGGGUGUCCCGUGGGGUCCCCACCCUUUCACAGGUGUGGGGCUGGGCGUGUGCCCUCCCUGUCCUCGGGGGAAGGCAGAGCUCCGUGGCUCCCUGGGUGUGAACCCGCCUGUAAGCAGGGUCCGGGUCUGGGAGCCUUUGUGCUCCCUCAGCUGGCAGCCUGUGCGGGGCGACCGCCCCGUUAGCGGGGAGCGGGUCAGGUGCCCCCGAAGCGGAGAGAAGGAGCCUCCGCGGGCCUUUGGGCCCAGGGCUGCCCUGUAAGUCGGGGCCAGUGCCCUGGAGUCCCGGGCACUUUGCGCUCCAGGCAGCGGCCGGAGCCCCCUGUAAGCAGGGGUGCAGCCUCUUUGGCCACUGCUUUGCAUGCCCAGCUGCCUUUGCCCAGAGGGCCCGGCUCCCAGCAGCGGAUGGGACUGCGUCGCUCUGAAGCCGUCGGAGAAGAAAGAAGAGCCAGGACUGGAACUUUGAGGCAAGAGCGAAGAAGAGGAGCAGCAGCGUCGAGCUCAAGAGGGAGCACGACAGAGACCCUCUGGGCAAAUGCACCUCCCUGGCCCCCCCCGGGCAGGGAUCCGUAAGAGUCCGGCGGUCAGCUUCAGGCUGCCCCGGCUGGCUUUGCGCUGGGCGACCUCCCUGUAAGCAGGGCUGGGUCUUUGCUUUGCUUUGCUGGCCUUUGGCCAUGGCGCUCCUUUGGCUGCCCGGAGAGAGGGGCAACCCUGUAAGGAGGGUGAGAGCCCCCCUCUCCGCACCCAAGGGGGGAAACGGAGCUCUCCCGACCCCCAGCCCGCCCUGUCAUCAGGGCAGGGCUUUCCCUGACCCCCAGCCCGCCCUGUCAUCAGGGCAGGGCUUUCCCUG